RNAcentral lists this transfer RNA (67 nucleotides) under Leptocorisa chinensis. RNAcentral's name for it is "tRNA-Phe". It matches the Rfam family "tRNA". Rfam says of the family: Transfer RNA (tRNA) molecules are approximately 80 nucleotides in length. The record is from RNAcentral. Lineage: Eukaryota; Metazoa; Arthropoda; Insecta; Hemiptera; Alydidae. RNAcentral also lists the same sequence under 1 other name.
AUUUGAGUAGCUUAAUUUUAAAGCGUAAUAUUGAAGCUAUUAUGAUAAGGUUUUACCUUCUUAAAUA